UACGAAGGGGGCUAGCGUUGCUCGGAAUUACUGGGCGUAAAGCGCACGUAGGCGGAUUGUUAAGUCGGGGGUGAAAUCCUGGAGCUCAACUCCAGAACUGCCUUCGAUACUGGCGAUCUCGAGUUCGGGAGAGGUGAGUGGAACUGCGAGUGUAGAGGUGAAAUUCGUAGAUAUUCGCAAGAACACCAGUGGCGAAGGCGGCUCACUGGCCCGAUACUGACGCUCAGGCACGAAAGCGUGGGGAGCAAACAGG
Molecule: ribosomal RNA, 253 nt
Filed under: uncultured bacterium
Lineage: Bacteria
Description: partial 16S ribosomal RNA
Rfam family: Bacterial small subunit ribosomal RNA
Source: RNAcentral